Molecule: RNA transcript, 4126 nt
Organism: Pan troglodytes (chimpanzee)
Lineage: Eukaryota; Metazoa; Chordata; Mammalia; Primates; Hominidae
Gene name: neuroblastoma breakpoint family member 6-like protein
Exons: 9
Source: RefSeq, a predicted model, not a curated record
AUUGUGACUCCAGACCAUUACCUGGCACUGGGUCUGAUUUCUGGCAUUCCUAUCAGAGCCUGAGUCACAGACAGUACCUUAGACUCUAAGCUUAGGCACCUUGUGCCUUGUUUUUGUGGCUAAGGAUUCUCAGAGUUGUAGGAUGCUGACAAAGUUUAUCCCAAAGGCUCUGAUUGUACUUUCUCCACAAGCUUCAGCAUGGCAGUAUCUCUCACCACUUGUUUUGGUCCAAGGGCAGAAAUGAGCAUCCUGGAAACCAAUCAGUACUUGCUCUCUGAACUGGAAAAGUGCAAAGAGAACUUCCGAGACCUCACAGAGAAAUUCCUGACAUCCAAAGCUACUGCCUACUCCCUGGCCAAUCACCUGCAGAAAUAUAAGUGUGAAGAGUGCAAAGACCUUAUAGAAUCUGUGCUGGAGGAGGAGCUGCAGUUUCAGGAGAGGGAGCUGACCGAAUUGCCAAGGCCAGCAGCAAGGCUCCGGAUACAUGAUCCCUUAAUUCAGGCUCAGGGUGAAGAACUGACCCACUUACGACAGAAGAUACAGGAAGGGAGAGGUGUCUGCUACCUUUUCACCCAGCAUGUGAAGAACACAGUCAAGUCUUUUGAGGGCCUUCUCAGGAACACUGGCAUUGCCUACUACCAGAGACAGAGAUUCUGUGAGCAAAUGGUACAAGGAAGCCAGCUAACAGAGAUCCUUGUCAGAAAACUUGCCACAGAAUCAACCCCAAUGCUCACUAACAAACUGAGAAGAAAAAAAAAGAAUUACCCCCAAGAACAUCUGAGGAAGCACAACAGGGACAGACUUGAAGGCACCUGGGCAGUCCUCUGGUUUUGGAGUAGAGGUAGGACAGGGCUAUUUGUCCUCUCAGAGACUGGAGCAGGUUCUGUGUGUGAGUAGCAAUGGGACAAACAGUCGUGGUCUGGCAACCAGCCUGUAGCAGGAAGGAAGGUUACAACUGGAGAAGUCCAAAGGGCAGCCAGGCAAGUAUUCUUUGAGCUGAGGAACAAAAGACAUUUUAAACUUUUUACUCUGCUUCAGGCAGCUGACGUCUGGUGAUGAUUCACCACAUCAGGAACACCCUGUCCAGUGGGCUCAGGCAAGCCUGCCAGGCCACUUCUCUAAAGACACAACCUGAGGCCUCCUGCAAUAAUUCUCACAGAGCAUUCUGAACAUACAUAAAAUCACAAUGGUAAGAAAAAUGAAGACAGGCAAAAGCCACUGGCUCCCAGGUAACUCUACAUGAUGAAGGGGCUGAUAAUGGACUGACCAAAUCUAGAGAGAAUUCCAGAAGCAAGGACUCAAGAGGUUAAAGGUCCCAGAUCUAGAAAAAGCAGAAACUGCUGAUUGUUCCUUUUUUUGUUGACUGAUUAUACAAUGUGUCCUUUUAAAAAUGGUUCUCUGUUCUCUUUGCAGUUGUUGUAUUGGUUCCUAGUUCCUAGUAAUUUCUCACACUUAGUUAACCAGUCAGUCUUACCGAAAAGUAAACUAACCAGGGAUCCCUGGUUUCUGUAUCUUUAAAACCUAUAGGGUUACAAACCAAAGUGAGAUGCCUAUCUGGUUUCUGCACAGUUGUCCUGAAUUAUGUUGGCAGAUAUUUUAUAGCCAGAAAUUUACCUUGAAAAAUAAAUUGAAACCAUACCAAGUAUUUAGAGCUAGGGGUCUAAAAUCUGCAAAAGCCCUGGGAGGUUGUGUUGUCUCAAGAGCCAGUAUUCAGUGGACCACUCCACAUCAUAUUAAAUAAAAUUUAAACACAGCAUUUUGAAGCCGACAGUAUGGGUUACUGUGUGUGCUGUGUGCCGUGAGCGUAUUGUAGAGUAGUUGUUGAGUCUGCUGCCUUAUCUGUGUGUUAUGAGGUCAAUGCACUGAUCACUUGCUUUUUUCACUUCUAUACUAACUCUAGGCACACUUUACUCCCAGUCAAAAGUGGACUGUAUACUUCCUCUUUGAUGUGAUGGUCCCUUUGGUUUUGGUGCCUCUUCCAUGAGCUUCAGAUCAGAACUAGCUAAGAAGCUGUGGUUCGAGGCUGCCUUGGUUUAAUCCCUUGUCUUGCCUACUUCACCUGGCUCAAGAGGGAAGUCCAGGAGGAAGAAAUGGAUGAAGUCCUGGAGGACUCACUAGAUGAACAGUAUUUGACUCAUUCCAGCUGCCAUGACUCCCACCAGCUUCCCAGCAGCAAUGCCUUCCUCUUUGAUGCACAGGAAGGCCCCUCGGCUGUGGAAAUAGCCAUGAUCAGCAUCUUCACUUCCCAUCUCAUUCCAUGUCCUGGUGGAAUGGCUGCAGAAGAUGAGAUCCAGAGCCAGUGGCAGCACCUGAAGGAGACCCUUUUCAUCAACAACUGCCUGUGAGAAAAGCUAGGACGUCACCACAGCAGCUUUGACGAAGAAAAUGGAUGCACCUCUAACCUCUACAGGCAAAUCAUAGAUUCCAUUGUCCAGCUGUAUAAUGAAAACAGAGUUCUCAGAGAAGAAUACCGGAGACUCCCCCGACUUGCCUGAGUCAAAUUUCCAGAGGCGUGGUGGCUCGCACCUGUAAUCCCAGCACCUUGGGAGGAUCACCUGAGGUCGGGAGUUUGAGACCAGCCGGACCAACAUGGAGGAACCCUGUCUCUACUAAAAAUAAAAAUAAAAAAAAAUUUUUUUAAUUAGCUGGGCGUGGUGGUACCUGCCUGUAAUCACAGCUACUUCGGAGGCUGAGGCAGGAGAAUUGCUUGAACCCUGGGGGUGGAGGUUGUGGUGAGCCAAGAUUGUACCAUUGCACUCCAGCCUGGGCAACAAGAGCAAAACUGUCUCAAAAAAAAAAAGAAAGAAAGAAAGAAAAAGACAAAGAAAGAAAGAAAAUUUUUUUUCACUUUUGCUCAGCCUUUUUAUCAAGGAAAAUCCCAGAAGAACAUUUACUGUAAAAGAACAUUGACUAUAAACAUCUUUCUGUGAAUCCUUAUUUCUGUCCCAGCCACCAUGACCCAAUAAUCUCUAAAACCUGUUAGUGUUCUCCAGAUUGAAGCCUUCCCUCUAACUGCUCCUAAAUCUGUGAUGUAGUGGAAAAGGUUUGAGGCCUUGAUUCUCAUCCCAGGUUUUUCACCUACAGAUCAUAUGGCCUUAGCCUCUUGACACCAUUGUCUCCUUAUGGCCAAAGAUGGAACUGUACUUGGGUGGUAUCUGAGCAUCCUGUUGGCUUUGACAUUCUAGGGCUCUUCCCUUGGUACCACUCUCUUAUUUAAAAGGAAUAGGAUGUGGACUUAGAAGGGUUAUUUCUCUGCAAACUAUCCUCUCUUUCUUAUGACAAGCUAUUUCUGAAUGUGCACAUUUGAGGCUAAGCAGAUCCCUUCCUGGGAGGUGUGAAAGACCUUUAUUUCUCUCCAGAGGAGUAUUACGGAGGUGGUAGAGACCUAGCUAACUCAUCUGCAGCGGCUUUGAGCAAGGCUUUUAGAACCAUAAGGUGGCUGGGGUCCUGUGUCCUACACCACAGGCCAGCUAGUUCAUUUCAGGAGACUUUCUUUUCAAUCUAUUAUUACUAUCUUCUUCUAGACUGUAGUUCACUACCAGAGAUUAUCCACUUAGCUGCACUCAGUUUGCACCUGGCCUGUAUCACCACUUAGCUCUCACUCUAGCCUCAGUUAGGUAUCAGCAAGACCUCACCAAAGAUUAUUGUUUCGUUGUAUGUGUGUGUGUGUGUUUGUUUGUUUCAAGUAGCAACUAAUGUUGGAACUAUGGAAAGUUCUUCUCUACUUUUAACAAAGCUUAGUCACAAACAGUUCCCCAGUUGAUGAGAAAAACUAAAACAACAGAACAAUUGAAAGUCCAAAUCUGAAAGCUCCAUCUCUGAGAAGCAAAUUUUAUAGCCACUCCAGAUUUGUAUUCCAAAUGGAUAGUUUGAUUGUAGAAAUCACAUCCCUUCAGUCUGAAAAUGUGAUAACUGCCCAAGAGACAGUGAUGCCUAGAUCCAUAAAUAAUCCCCUUUCCCCCAACCUAUAUAUAACUGGAGUCAACAGCAGCUAGAGGAAAAUGGCAAGGACUUGGAAUCAAGAUUAAGUUAGAAUAACACUGCUGUAGACUGUUUAUCAGCUCUUCAGCCUAUGUCCAUUUUCCUUGAAGGAUAAGCGUUUAGAAACCUCUGACAAUAAAGUUUA